This 392-nucleotide transfer-messenger RNA is filed under the name Petrachloros mirabilis ULC683. It matches the Rfam family "transfer-messenger RNA". From Rfam's summary of the family: Bacterial tmRNA, also known as 10Sa RNA or SsrA, is named for its dual tRNA and mRNA-like properties. Its role is to liberate the mRNA from a stalled ribosome. Lineage: Bacteria; Bacillati; Cyanobacteriota; Cyanophyceae; Synechococcales; Petrachlorosaceae. The record is from Rfam by way of RNAcentral. RNAcentral also lists the same sequence under 1 other name.
GGGGCUGUAACGGUUUCGACGUUUUAGUAAACGUAGCUUUAUGAUUCAGGCCGAGAGUGAGUCAUCUCUCGUAAAUCCAAGACUCAAACAACAUGUAAAUGCGAACAACAUCGUUCCUUUCGCUCGUCGGGCAGUUGCUAUUGCCUAGAAACCGCUUAGUUGGUUUUUGAGCAUCUAUAGUGUGACUCCGUUAAGGACUAUAGAUAUAACCCCCAACGGAUGCGCUAGAUAGACGCCUCUGGUCGGAUAUUUAGCUAAGACCUCACCAGAGCAUCCCAUCGUCUGGGAUAAGAGACGAUUCCCGCUUCGAGGAUGAGAGAAGCUAAGCCUGUGAAUGAGUGAAGCGCUAAUAACUAGGGCGGACACGGGUUCGACUCCCGUCAGCUCCAUCA